UUUCCGUAGGUGAACCUGCGGAAGGAUCAUUAAUGAAUUUCUGGGUGUUUUUUUGGACGACUGGACAUGCGCAAGCGUGGACAGAAGUCUCGCCCGAUAAUCCAAAUCCUGUGAACUUGUAAAUUGUUUGUUGCUUGGCAGGUGUUUUUCUGGGGGGAAAUUUAGCCAGGAGAUGUGAGAAGAGCAUUGCUUCGGUUCUGUCUCUACCUUGCAUUUCUAAGAUAAUUUUCCUUCCCGGCCUGCCAGCAGUAUUUUAUAAACCAUUUUGAUUGAGUUGUCUGAAACAAAUAUAAAAAAAAAGCUUAAAACUUUCAACAACGGAUCUCUUGGUUCUC
RNAcentral lists this unclassified non-coding RNA (335 nucleotides) under plant metagenome. Its description in RNAcentral is "partial contains small subunit ribosomal RNA, internal transcribed spacer 1, and 5.8S ribosomal RNA". The record is from RNAcentral.